GACAACAAUAGAGGAAUUUUGGGAGAAAAAGGAAAACUUCCAACUUGGAGUAGUUGGACAAAAACAGAUAGUGCUAUUAUAGAUAGUUGAAGAUGACACCCUGAUCCUUUAAAGAAGCCACUGGCGGAAAUAUAUCUUGACUGGAACCAUUAUUAAAGUUUAAUCUUGUGUUACCAUGUUCCAAAUCAGAGAUCUGUCUAAUAACCACAUACCGGUAAUCCCCAGAACUGAAUCUGAAGGAAUGGAGGAUUGCAUAUGUUAUGUAUUUUUUUGGAUGAUAUAGACAGUUAAUACAUGUAUGUGCCCAAUUAAAUCACAGGCAAAACUUGGACUUGCUUGGACUUUUUGUAUUGUUUUUGAGCCUCACUUGUGUAUAAACUGAAUAUUAAAUGAUCUAAUAUAAUGACUUUUGAAAAAUUAUGAAAA
Molecule: long non-coding RNA, 426 nt
Organism: Saccostrea echinata
Lineage: Eukaryota; Metazoa; Mollusca; Bivalvia; Ostreida; Ostreidae
Exons: 2
Source: RefSeq, a predicted model, not a curated record